GCGGUGGAGCAUGUGGUUUAAUUCGAAGCAACGCGAAGAACCUUACCAGGUCUUGACAUCCUCUGACAACCCUAGAGAUAGGGCUUUCCCUUCGGGGACAGAGUGACAGGUGGUGCAUGGUUGUCGUCAGCUCGUGUCGUGAGAUGUUGGGUUAAGUCCCGCAACGAGCGCAACCCUUGAUCUUAGUUGCCAGCAUUCAGUUGGGCACUCUAAGGUGACUGCCGGUGACAAACCGGAGGAAGGUGGGGAUGACGUCAAAUCAUCAUGCCCCUUAUGACCUGGGCUACACACGUGCUACAAUGGACAGAACAAAGGGCUGCGAGACCGCAAGGUUUAGCCAAUCCCACAAAUCUGUUCUCAGUUCGGAUCGCAGUCUGCAACUCGACUGCGUGAAGCUGGAAUCGCUAGUAAUCGCGGAUCAGCAUGCCGCGGUGAAUACGUUCCCGGGCCUUGUACACACCGCCCGUCACACCACGAGAGUUUGCAACACCCGAAGUCGGUGAGGUAACCUUUA
RNAcentral lists this ribosomal RNA (514 nucleotides) under Bacillus sp. (in: firmicutes). Its description in RNAcentral is "bacterial SSU rRNA". It matches the Rfam family "Bacterial small subunit ribosomal RNA", at positions 929 to 1444 of the family's 1533-position model. The record is from RNAcentral. Lineage: Bacteria; Bacillati; Bacillota; Bacilli; Caryophanales; Bacillaceae.